GUGUUGUAUGAAAGGAGAGAAGAUUAGCACUCCCCUUGAGAAGGAUGGAAGAGGUCCUAGUGACCUUUACAAUACGCAUAUGGUUAAGACAUUGCCACUUACAUGUGGGUUUUUGUGGGUUUUUUU
RNAcentral lists this non-coding RNA (126 nucleotides) under Chelydra serpentina (North American snapping turtle). The record is from RNAcentral. Lineage: Eukaryota; Metazoa; Chordata; Testudines; Chelydridae.